GUUGGCAUUUAUUUUCCUUAGCAGUGUGUUUCUCUAUGUUGUACGUAUGGCUGUGUAGUUACUGGAACAAAAGCUCAGAGCUGCCUGUCCUGUGUGGGAGCAUUAGUGUGAAGAUCAAGCUUUUUAAAAAGUUUAUUUCUAUUUGCAGCUUCUACCCCAAACUUGCUGAACUGUAAGAAAGAACCAGAAAGGAAUCAUAAGGAUUUUUGGGAGCACCAAGAUACAAAACUAAGCUGUUCCCCUGCCCCACUCAGCAGGUGUUCACCACCUUCAUUCUCAAUCAGUUCAACUUACAAAACUGUGCCUAACUUUUUUGUCAUUCUUUAUUUCUCUUGCUUUCUUUCUUUAUUCUCUUUCUCCCUUUCUCUCUUUCUUUUUUUUUCUCUUUCUUUUAAAAUUCUCUUUCCCNNNNNNNNNNNNNNNNNNNNNNNNNNNNNNNUUUUUCCUUUCCCCUCUCUUGCUUUCUUUUUAUUCUCUUUCUCCCUUCUCUCCUUCUUUCUUUAUUCUUUCUCCCUUUCUCUUUUUCCCUGUCUUUCUUUUUUCUCUUUUUCUGAUUCUUUCUUUUUUACUUUCUUUUGUUUUAUUCUCAUUCUCCCUUUCUCUAUUUCUUUUUUUUUCCUUUCAUUCCUUUUCUUUCUUUACUCUCUUUCUCCCUUUCUCUUUCUUUUUCCUUCCUUUCUCUCUCUUUCUUUCUUUUUGUUCUCUUUCUCCGUUUUCUCCAUUUUCCUUUCUUUCUCUCUGUUUUUUUUUUUUUUAAUUCUCUUUCUGUUUGUUUCUUUUUCCCUUUCUUUCUCUCUUUCUUUCUUUCUUUUUCUUUUUUUUUUUGUCCCCUUUCUCCCUUUCUCUCUUUCUUUUUCCCUUUCUCUCUCUGUCUUUCCCCUUCCGUCAUCUCCCCUUCCCUGCUGUCCUCCGCGGGCAGAGGGCGACAGGUGAGCGACGCGAUGGAGGCAGCGCAGCUCGGCUGACAGCGGGCGCAGGAGAAACAGCGGGACGGACAACCGCGGAGCGCCCAGCCCGACCGGCGGAUGGAGGGGAUGGGGCGGGG
Molecule: long non-coding RNA, 1045 nt
Filed under: Chrysolophus pictus (golden pheasant)
Lineage: Eukaryota; Metazoa; Chordata; Aves; Galliformes; Phasianidae
Description: lncRNA (ENSCPIG00010005022.1)
Source: RNAcentral